Molecule: ribosomal RNA, 158 nt
Filed under: Gongronemopsis tenacissima
Lineage: Eukaryota; Viridiplantae; Streptophyta; Magnoliopsida; Gentianales; Apocynaceae
Description: Marsdenia tenacissima 5.8S ribosomal RNA
Rfam family: 5.8S ribosomal RNA
About the family: 5.8S ribosomal RNA (5.8S rRNA) is a component of the large subunit of the eukaryotic ribosome. It is transcribed by RNA polymerase I as part of the 45S precursor that also contains 18S and 28S rRNA.
Source: RNAcentral
CGACUCUCGGCAACGGAUAUCUAGGCUCUCGCAUCGAUGAAGAACGUAGCAAACUGCGAUACUUGGUGUGAAUUGCAGAAUCCCGUGAACCAUCGAGUCUUUGAACGCAAGUUGCGCCCGAAGCCAUUAGGCCGAGGGCACGUCUGCCUGGGCGUCAC